This 459-nucleotide ribosomal RNA is filed under the name uncultured bacterium. Its description in RNAcentral is "partial 16S ribosomal RNA". It matches the Rfam family "Bacterial small subunit ribosomal RNA", at positions 338 to 795 of the family's 1533-position model. The record is from RNAcentral.
CCUACGGGUGGCAGCAGUGAGGAAUAUUGGUCAAUGGCCGGAAGGCUGAACCAGCCAAGCCGCGUGAAGGACGAAGGUGCCAAGCAUUGUAAACUUCUUUUGUCAAGGGACAAAAUCAGGCUCGAGAGCCUGACCGAGGGUACUUGAAGAAAAAGCAUCGGCUAACUCCGUGCCAGCAGCCGCGGUAAUACGGAGGAUGUGAGCGUUAUCCGGAUUUAUUGGGUUUAAAGGGUGCGUAGGCGGACUGUUAAGUCAGCGGUAAAAGUCUGGGGCUCAACCCAAGCGGGCCAUUGAAACUGGCUGUCUUGAGAAGACGUGAGGUAUGCGGAAUGCGCGGUGUAGCGGUGAAAUGCUUAGAUAUUGCGCAGAACUCCGAUUGCGAAGGCAGCAUACCGGCGGCGAUCUGACGCUGAGGCACGAAAGCGUGGGUAUCGAACAGGAUUAGAUACCCGGGUAGUC